GGCAUGGUAGCCAAGUGGCUUAGGCAACGGUUUGCAAAACCGUUUACGUGGGUUCAAUUCCCACCCAUGCCU
RNAcentral lists this transfer RNA (72 nucleotides) under Parcubacteria group bacterium CG1_02_37_13. RNAcentral describes it as "tRNA-Cys". It matches the Rfam family "tRNA". From Rfam's summary of the family: Transfer RNA (tRNA) molecules are approximately 80 nucleotides in length. Their secondary structure includes four short double-helical elements and three loops (D, anti-codon, and T loops). RNAcentral also lists the same sequence under 3 other names. The record is from RNAcentral.